CGCUCACUAUCGAACCGUUUUAGAAACAUUCAGGGGCCAACAGUUUCAGGAUUGUUGAGCUCCAUUGGCGGGAUUUCGCCGUCUUCGUUUCUCUUUCUUCGCGGACGAACACGCGCCAGGGCUGAGCGCUGUGCGAUGCAUCGACGACAAGUCGUGUGCGCGCCGGCAUGUCCCUCGUGUUAGGGGCUUGUAGCUCAGUUGGUUAGAGCGCGCGCUUGAUAAGCGUGAGGUCGGAAGUUCAAGUCUUCCCAGGCCCACCAUUUUGAUCGAGUGCAGAGCAUUCGUCUUCUGGUACGGGGCCAUAGCUCAGCUGGGAGAGCGCGUGCUUUGCAAGCAUGAGGUCGUCGGUUCGAUCCCGUCUGGCUCCACCAGAUGGAAUUGAGGCUCGACAAUGCACUUGGUGCAAGAAGCUCUGUUCAUAUCGUCCGCGAAACAUCACUUCGCACUCAUUGGUCCGGAUGGACGGUGACGUGCGUGUUUUCUGACAUCGUAAAGAGGAGAUCGAUCCGAGUUUGGAUCUGCGAAGCAAUUCGCGGGUACCAUUCCUAAUCUCCAGAUCGUUUUCGGCGCUCGCGCAUCGCAGCCCAUCGCAAGAUGAGUGAGAGAUGAGCGAGUUGUAAAACGAUCUUUGUAGCGAAGCUUGACCGCCUCGCUAUCGGGCCGAUCUUACGAAGCAAGCUGGUCUUUCUAGUCAAUGUCCGGCUGCGCAAUCGCAUUCAUCGAGGAUGCGCGCCUUCAAUGGCAGUUGUGCAGACAACAUUCUGCCGAGUGUGUGGACAUUGAUAAUGAGAGCAAUCAAGUGCCUUAAGGGUGUUCGGUGGAUGCCUUGGCGCUGAGAGGCGAUGAAAGACGUGCUACGCUGCGAUAAGCCGUGGGGAGCUGCGAAGAAGCUUUGAUCCACGGAUUUCCGAUGGG
This 915-nucleotide unclassified non-coding RNA is filed under the name Bradyrhizobium sp. Its description in RNAcentral is "partial contains 16S ribosomal RNA, 16S-23S ribosomal RNA intergenic spacer, and 23S ribosomal RNA". The stretch from base 794 to 915 matches the Rfam family "Bacterial large subunit ribosomal RNA", at positions 1 to 122 of the family's 2925-position model. The record is from RNAcentral. Lineage: Bacteria; Pseudomonadati; Pseudomonadota; Alphaproteobacteria; Hyphomicrobiales; Nitrobacteraceae.